UCCAUGGAGGACUAGUGGUUAGGCCACGGUGCUCUCACCGCUGCUGUCCAGGUUUGAUUCCUGGCCAAGUAA
This 72-nucleotide transfer RNA is filed under the name Pangasianodon gigas (Mekong giant catfish). Its description in RNAcentral is "tRNA-Glu". It matches the Rfam family "tRNA". Rfam says of the family: Transfer RNA (tRNA) molecules are approximately 80 nucleotides in length. Their secondary structure includes four short double-helical elements and three loops (D, anti-codon, and T loops). Further hydrogen bonds mediate the characteristic L-shaped molecular structure. tRNAs have two regions of fundamental functional importance: the anti-codon, which is responsible for specific mRNA codon recognition, and the 3' end, to which the tRNAs corresponding amino acid is attached (by aminoacyl-tRNA synthetases). tRNAs cope with the degeneracy of the genetic code in two manners: having more than one tRNA (with a specific anti-codon) for a particular amino acid; and 'wobble' base-pairing, i.e. permitting non-standard base-pairing at the 3rd anti-codon position. Lineage: Eukaryota; Metazoa; Chordata; Actinopteri; Siluriformes; Pangasiidae. The record is from RNAcentral.